GACAGAGGGGGCAAGCGUUGCUCGGAAUUACUGGGCGUAAAGGGCGCGUAGGCGGGAUGGCAAGUCGGUCGUGAAAUCCUUCGGCUCAACCGAAGAACGUCGAUCGAUACUGCUGUUCUAGAGGAUUGCAGAGGAGACUGGAAUUCCCGGUGUAGCGGUGAAAUGUGUAGAGAUCGGGAGGAACACCGGUGGCGAAGGCGGGUCUCUGGGCAAUUCCUGACGCUGAGGCGCGAAAGCCAGGGGAGCAAACGGG
This 253-nucleotide ribosomal RNA is filed under the name uncultured bacterium. RNAcentral's name for it is "partial 16S ribosomal RNA". It matches the Rfam family "Bacterial small subunit ribosomal RNA", at positions 524 to 776 of the family's 1533-position model. The record is from RNAcentral.